GACGGAUGGGGCUAGCGUUGUUCGGAAUUACUGGGCGUAAAGGGCGCGUAGGCGGCCAUUUAAGUUAGACGUGAAAGCCCUGGGCUUAACCUAGGAACUGCGUUUAAUACUGGAUGGCUAGAGUAUGGUAGAGGAAAGCGGAAUUCCUAGUGUAGAGGUGAAAUUCGUAGAUAUUAGGAAGAACACCAGAGGCGAAGGCGGCUUCUGGACCAUUACUGACGCUGAGGCGCGAAAGCGUGGGGAGCAAACAGG
RNAcentral lists this ribosomal RNA (252 nucleotides) under uncultured bacterium. RNAcentral describes it as "partial 16S ribosomal RNA". It matches the Rfam family "Bacterial small subunit ribosomal RNA", at positions 524 to 776 of the family's 1533-position model. The record is from RNAcentral.